This 809-nucleotide ribosomal RNA is filed under the name uncultured Planctomycetia bacterium. RNAcentral describes it as "bacterial SSU rRNA". It matches the Rfam family "Bacterial small subunit ribosomal RNA", at positions 124 to 926 of the family's 1533-position model. Lineage: Bacteria; Pseudomonadati; Planctomycetota; Planctomycetia. The record is from RNAcentral.
ACGUACCCCCAGGGCGAGGAUAGCCACGGGAAACUGUGGGUAAUACUCGAUAACCUUCCCGAUCAUGAUCGAAUGGGAAGCAAUGGGUGUGAUUCCACCUGGGGAGCGGCUUACGCAGUAUCAGCUAGUUGGUGAGGUAACGGCUCACCAAGGCUUUGACGCUUAGGGGGUGUGAGAGCAUGGCCCCCACCACUGGCACUGAGACACUGGCCAGACACCUACGGGUGGCUGCAGUCGAGAAUCUUCGGCAAUGGACGAAAGUCUGACCGAGCGACGCCGCGUGCGGGAUGAAGGUCUUCGGAUUGUAAACCGCUGUCAGAGGGGAUGAAGUGUACGAGAGCUAUCUCUUGUAUUUGACAGAGCCUCAGAGGAAGCACGGGCUAAGUUCGUGCCAGCAGCCGCGGUAAUACGAACUGUGCGAACGUUAUUCGGAAUCACUGGGCUUAAAGGGUGCGUAGGCGGUUUUCUAAGUCACGUGUGAAAUCUUCCGGCUCAACCGGAAAACUGCGCGUGAUACUGGAGAACUUGAGUGAGGUAGGGGUGUGUGGAACUUCCGGUGGAGCGGUGAAAUGUGUAGAGAUCGGAAGGAACGCCAGCAGCGAAAGCGGCACACUGGGCCUUUUCUGACGCUGAGGCACGAAAGCUAGGGGAGUGAACGGGAUUAGAUACCCCGGUAAUCCUAGCCGUAAACACUGAACACUGGAGGAAGGGGGCUUCGGCCUUCUUUCUCGUAGCGAAAGCGUUAAGUGUUCCGCCUGGGGAGUAUGGUCGCAAGGCUGAAACUCAAAGGAAUUGACGGGGGCUCACAC